GUGAAUCAUCGAAUCUUUGAACGCAAAUUGCACUCUCCUCGGAGAGUAUGCCUGUUUGAGGGUCAGCCUAAAAAAAAUCAACAUCUUUGCUUUUCCCCGUUGACUUUCGUCGGAGAGGGGUUAUCUUAAAUCCCGGUUUAAGCGACUUAAAAUUUUUUUUUACGAUUCUAGGAAUGUUUCUAAGAUUUUUCUUUUCCGUUAAAGGUAUCUAAUUUCUUAUUAUACUUGGCCGU
RNAcentral lists this unclassified non-coding RNA (233 nucleotides) under Glomus sp. Its description in RNAcentral is "partial contains 5.8S ribosomal RNA and internal transcribed spacer 2". The stretch from base 1 to 65 matches the Rfam family "5.8S ribosomal RNA", at positions 84 to 154 of the family's 154-position model. Lineage: Eukaryota; Fungi; Glomeromycota; Glomeromycetes; Glomerales; Glomeraceae. The record is from RNAcentral.